AUCACGGUUAAGAAAUAGGUUUGGUUAACUUGAUUUUGCACGAGCCCUCAAUGAACCCCAGCAGCGAAGGUGGUGGUGGCACUGAAAGCACCACCACCACCUUUGUGCAUAUAAUAAUGAUGCCAAGUAAAACGUUCUGCACUACUCGCUGAUGCUGAAGAAAUUACAAUAUGAGAAAUAUGAGACUGAUGAAAUGUGAAAAACACGUUCAGUUCAAGAAGAUUUUACUCUUGAAUUUGGAACGUACAAAAAAGCAGGAUAUUAUUUCUUAUCAAUUGUCUCCACGAUGCGUUUGAGGACUUUGACUUGUUCUGAAGGUUCGAUGAGUCGGGCGUCGGUGUCAUCCGAAAUGGAUUUGUUCAUGACGAAGAAGAUAAUGAGACGCCCGUUGGUGGGGUUCUUGCCGAUGAUGUCCUUCUCGAGGCGACCUCCUUUCGCCUUGGAGAUUUCCAACACGGACACGAUCACUUUCCCAAUCUCCUAAAAACAUCGGAAACUUGUAUAAAUAUUCCAUAUAUCUAUUAUGCAAGGUUUCCAGUCUCAUCUCACCUCUCGUCCCUGCUUCACGACGAAUCGGAGUUUCUGCAAGAGAAAACAACGUUUUUAUCGUAUCAAUCAACGAUUUUAUGCAUAUUAGAAUUAUUUUCCUACUUGCUGAUGUCCUUCAAAGAAAGUAAUUUGGAAUACAUCAGGCCAUUCCGGGUUAAAACCUUUAAAAUUUCAAGUUUGUUUUGAGAAACAUUUAGUUUAUGGACAAGACAUGACUGAUAUAAUAAGUUGAAAUUUUGCAAUACUUUCUUCAGAUUUCCUCGUCUUGUUGGUAUAAUAAUCUGGAGGCUGAUCCGGACUUCUAAAGUAGGUCACUUCCACUUCCGCUUCUGGUUUCUUGGAAAAUAAAAGCUCGGUUAGCAAUAAGAUUACCUGGCUGAGAGGACAAAGGUGAUUUCCACCCCCUUGUUGCUAUCCCCCGCCGGCACCACCCCUCCUCCCAGCGCUUCAUGAGGCAGUAAGCAGAAGCAGAUGAGCCCCAAAAAAUAUGCUCGAAUAAAUAAUGAUUCGUAUCGUCAACUACAAAAUACUGUCAAUUAAAUAUUUCGUACGAAUAGUUUCAAUCCCGCAAGGCGCAAACUAAUUCAUGGAAGAAAAAAUUAUAUUGUACUUAUGUUCUCGCAUGCAGAAAAGUAGAACAAUAUUCUUCUUUCUGCAUCAUAUUAUGAUGUCAUUGGCAAAGAACAAUGUUAAACGCCAAAGGAAAUAUUUUGAAUGCUUUAGAAUUCAUGGAAUAAUGAAUCGUAAAAAUAAGUAAUUUAAAGGUCAAUUAUAUACAACUGCUCCAUGUUUUAUUCCAUUCAUAAAAAUAUAUUAAUCAUGACUAACUAUGUUUUUUUAAACUACGUAACUUUUCAAUCCUCGUCGUCUUCUGCGGCCUUUUUGUUCUUCUUGUUCUUCUUGCUUUUCCGCGUGUCCUUUGGAUUUUUUUCGAGGUCUAUGACGAUGUCCUUGGCCUUGGAGGUGCUGGCUAGUCGUUCGACCGUUGCGUCGUUGGGCGUCUUGUUGAUAAGCGUGUUGAUGAUGAGGCGACCAUUCUUCUGACUCGGUCCCACCAACUCCACCUCUAACGCGU
Molecule: long non-coding RNA, 1624 nt
Organism: Folsomia candida
Lineage: Eukaryota; Metazoa; Arthropoda; Collembola; Entomobryomorpha; Isotomidae
Exons: 3
Source: RefSeq, a predicted model, not a curated record